UGAGACCCCAAUUUUUGUCUAUACAAAAAAUUUAAAAAAUUAACUGAGUAUGGUGGUGCACACUGGUGGUAUCAGCUACUGGGGAGGCUAAGGCAGGGGUUUGGCGGGGAUUACUUGAGCCCAGUGGUUUGAGGCCACAGUGAGCUAUGGUUGUGCCAUUGCACUCCAACCUGCGUGACAGAGUGAGACCUUACCUCAAAAAAUAAAUAUUUUUGGUUUUCCUUAGCAUCAAUGUCUACAAGAAAAUGCUAGGUUUCUUUUAAAAAAUGCCUUAUUCCUUGUUUUAAAAGUAAGAGAUUAAAUCAAGAAUAACAGGAUUCAGUAAUCCCCCACUUCUCUCAGAGAUAGAUUGAGGGGAGUUGAUAAAGGAACAAGGGAACUCCAGAGAUGAGGAAAUAAUAGUGGGUAUAGUCAUUAUGGUAAUAGCAAAUGAGAUACCCCUUCACCCAAUUCCAUAAUAUCAGUAGGGUCUUUUUGACUUCUGAGAAUAAGUCCCUAGUUACCUGCCCUGAAAGAUGUCAUUAUGUUUUUAAAACCAGAUAUGUAUACAUAGAUAAAUCAUAUGCUUGCCUUGAUUUUGGUAAAAUUUAAACCACUUUUUAAAUCUUUGGUGCAUUUUAAAAACAUUUUAUGAAACAGAUGCAGACCUUGGAUUCUGAUUGUUGAGAUACCAUGUCAGUAAUUGUAUUAGUUUCCUAUGGCUGUUAUAGUAAACCACAAAUUUAGUAGAUUAAAACAAUAUAAACGUAUCCUGUCACACUUCCUGAGUUCAGAGCUCAAAAUCAGCUUUACUGGGCCAAAAUACAAUUCCUGGUUCCUUCUAGAGGCUCCAGGGAAGAAUUCUUUCCUUGCUUCUUUUAGCUUCUGGUGGCUGCCAGCAUUCUUUGCCAGCAUAAUAAUUCAAGUCCCUACUUCCAUCAUCACAUUGCUUUUCCUUCUGUGAUGGUAUUUCCUUCUGACUUCCUCUUACAAGGACACUUGUGAUUACAUCAUUGGGCCCACUUGGGUAAUCUCCCAAUCUCAAAAUCCUUAAGUACUUUUGCAAAGUCCCUUUUGCCAUGCAAAGUAACAUACAAGUUCCAGGGAUUAGGAUGUGGACAUUUUAGGGGCCUUUAUUCAGUCUACACAGCAAUCCUCUCAAAUUCACUUUUUUUUUUCUUUUUUUAAUACAGGGUUUUGCUGUGUCACCCAGGCUGAAGUGCAGUGGCGUGGUCUUGGCUCACUGCAACCUCCACCUCCUGGGUUCAAGCGAUUCUCCUGCUCAGUCUCUCG
Molecule: long non-coding RNA, 1272 nt
Filed under: Homo sapiens (human)
Lineage: Eukaryota; Metazoa; Chordata; Mammalia; Primates; Hominidae
Description: HSALNT0045543
Source: RNAcentral